RNAcentral lists this unclassified non-coding RNA (336 nucleotides) under soil metagenome. Its description in RNAcentral is "partial contains 5.8S ribosomal RNA, internal transcribed spacer 2, and large subunit ribosomal RNA". The stretch from base 1 to 120 matches the Rfam family "5.8S ribosomal RNA", at positions 35 to 154 of the family's 154-position model. The record is from RNAcentral.
GAUGAAGAACGUAGCGGAAUGCGAUAAGUAAUGUGAAUUGCAGAAUUCAGUGAAUCAUCGAAUCUUUGAACGCACAUUGCGCCCAUUAGUAUUCUAGUGGGCAUGCCUGUUCGAGCGUCAUUUCAACCCUUAAGCCUAGCUUAGUGUUGGGAAUCUGCUGUAUUGCAGUUCCUCAAAUACAACGGCGGAUCUGUAACAUCCUCUGAGCGUAGUAAAUUUUUAUCUCGCUUUUGUUAGGUGUUGCAGCUCUCAGCCGCUAAACCCCCCAAUUUUUGUGGUUGACCUCGGAUCAGGUAGGAAUACCCGCUGAACUUAAGCAUAUCAAUAAGCGGAGGA